This 23-nucleotide microRNA is filed under the name Echinococcus granulosus. Its description in RNAcentral is "egr-miR-277b-3p". Its record names the gene egr-miR-277b-3p. The record is from miRBase by way of RNAcentral. Lineage: Eukaryota; Metazoa; Platyhelminthes; Cestoda; Cyclophyllidea; Taeniidae. RNAcentral also lists the same sequence under 1 other name.
UAAAUGCAAAAUAUCUGGUUAUG